GAUGAACGCUGGCGGCGUGCUUACCACAUGCAAGUCGAACGGAAAGGCCCAAGCUUGCUUGGGUACUCGAGUGGCGAACGGGUGAGUAACACGUGGGUGAUCUGCCCUGCACUUCGGGAUAAGCCUGGGAAACUGGGUCUAAUACCGGAUAGGACCACAUUUUGGAUGGUGUGGUGGAAAGUUUUUCGGUGUGGGAUGAGCUCGCGGCCUAUCAGCUUGUUGGUGGGGUAAUGGCCUACCAAGGCGUCGACGGGUAGCCGGCCUGAGAGGGUGUACGGCCACAUUGGGACUGAGAUACGGCCCAGACUCCUACGGGAGGCAGCAGUGGGGAAUAUUGCACAAUGGGCGCAAGCCUGAUGCAGCGACGCCGCGUGGGGGAUGACGGCCUUCGGGCUGUAAACUCCUUUCGCUAGGGACGAAGCGUUAUGUGACGGUACCUGGAGAAGAAGCACCGGCUAACUACGUG
Molecule: ribosomal RNA, 466 nt
Filed under: uncultured bacterium
Lineage: Bacteria
Description: partial 16S ribosomal RNA
Rfam family: Bacterial small subunit ribosomal RNA
Source: RNAcentral